UACGGAGGAUCCGAGCGUUAUCCGGAUUUAUUGGGUUUAAAGGGUGCGCAGGCGGGGGAUUAAGUCGGCGGUGAAAUUUUGCAGCUCAACUGUAAAAGUGCCUUCGAAACUGGUUUCCUUGAGUGUAGAUGAAGUAGGCGGAAUUUGUGGUGUAGCGGUGAAAUGCAUAGAUAUCACGAGGAACUCCGAUUGCGCAGGCAGCUUACUAAACUACUACUGACGCUCAGGCACGAAGGCGUGGGGAUCAAACAGGAUUAGAUACCCCCGUAGUCCCU
RNAcentral lists this ribosomal RNA (275 nucleotides) under uncultured prokaryote. RNAcentral's name for it is "partial 16S ribosomal RNA". It matches the Rfam family "Bacterial small subunit ribosomal RNA", at positions 524 to 798 of the family's 1533-position model. The record is from RNAcentral.